CCUACGGGUGGCAGCAGUGAGGAAUAUUGGUCAAUGGACGAGAGUCUGAACCAGCCAAGUAGCGUGAAGGAUGACUGCCCUAUGGGUUGUAAACUUCUUUUAUAUGGGAAUAAAAUGUUCCACGUGUGGGAUUUUGUAUGUACCAUAUGAAUAAGGAUCGGCUAACUCCGUGCCAGCAGCCGCGGUAAUACGGAGGAUCCGAGCGUUAUCCGGAUUUAUUGGGUUUAAAUGGAGCGUAGGUGGAUUGUUAAGUCAGUUGUGAAAGUUUGCGGCUCAACCGUAAAAUUGCAGUUGAAACUGGCAGUCUUGAGUACAGUAGAGGUGGGCGGAAUUCGUGGUGUAGCGGUGAAAUGCUUAGAUAUCACGAAGAACUCCGAUUGCGAAGGCAGUUCACUGGACUGCAACUGACACUGAGGCUCGAAAGUGUGGGUAUCAAACAGGAUUAGAUACCCUUGUAGUC
Molecule: ribosomal RNA, 460 nt
Filed under: uncultured bacterium
Lineage: Bacteria
Description: partial 16S ribosomal RNA
Rfam family: Bacterial small subunit ribosomal RNA
Source: RNAcentral